Molecule: ribosomal RNA, 2927 nt
Filed under: Staphylococcus aureus
Lineage: Bacteria; Bacillati; Bacillota; Bacilli; Caryophanales; Staphylococcaceae
Description: bacterial LSU rRNA
Rfam family: Bacterial large subunit ribosomal RNA
Source: RNAcentral
AGAUUAAGUUAUUAAGGGCGCACGGUGGAUGCCUUGGCACUAGAAGCCGAUGAAGGACGUUACUAACGACGAUAUGCUUUGGGGAGCUGUAAGUAAGCUUUGAUCCAGAGAUUUCCGAAUGGGGAAACCCAGCAUGAGUUAUGUCAUGUUAUCGAUAUGUGAAUACAUAGCAUAUCAGAAGGCACACCCGGAGAACUGAAACAUCUUAGUACCCGGAGGAAGAGAAAGAAAAUUCGAUUCCCUUAGUAGCGGCGAGCGAAACGGGAAGAGCCCAAACCAACAAGCUUGCUUGUUGGGGUUGUAGGACACUCUAUACGGAGUUACAAAGGACGACAUUAGACGAAUCAUCUGGAAAGAUGAAUCAAAGAAGGUAAUAAUCCUGUAGUCGAAAAUGUUGUCUCUCUUGAGUGGAUCCUGAGUACGACGGAGCACGUGAAAUUCCGUCGGAAUCUGGGAGGACCAUCUCCUAAGGCUAAAUACUCUCUAGUGACCGAUAGUGAACCAGUACCGUGAGGGAAAGGUGAAAAGCACCCCGGAAGGGGAGUGAAAUAGAACCUGAAACCGUGUGCUUACAAGUAGUCAGAGCCCGUUAAUGGGUGAUGGCGUGCCUUUUGUAGAAUGAACCGGCGAGUUACGAUUUGAUGCAAGGUUAAGCAGUAAAUGUGGAGCCGUAGCGAAAGCGAGUCUGAAUAGGGCGUUUAGUAUUUGGUCGUAGACCCGAAACCAGGUGAUCUACCCUUGGUCAGGUUGAAGUUCAGGUAACACUGAAUGGAGGACCGAACCGACUUACGUUGAAAAGUGAGCGGAUGAACUGAGGGUAGCGGAGAAAUUCCAAUCGAACCUGGAGAUAGCUGGUUCUCUCCGAAAUAGCUUUAGGGCUAGCCUCAAGUGAUGAUUAUUGGAGGUAGAGCACUGUUUGGACGAGGGGCCCCUCUCGGGUUACCGAAUUCAGACAAACUCCGAAUGCCAAUUAAUUUAACUUGGGAGUCAGAACAUGGGUGAUAAGGUCCGUGUUCGAAAGGGAAACAGCCCAGACCACCAGCUAAGGUCCCAAAAUAUAUGUUAAGUGGAAAAGGAUGUGGCGUUGCCCAGACAACUAGGAUGUUGGCUUAGAAGCAGCCAUCAUUUAAAGAGUGCGUAAUAGCUCACUAGUCGAGUGACACUGCGCCGAAAAUGUACCGGGGCUAAACAUAUUACCGAAGCUGUGGAUUGUCCUUUGGACAAUGGUAGGAGAGCGUUCUAAGGGCGUUGAAGCAUGAUCGUAAGGACAUGUGGAGCGCUUAGAAGUGAGAAUGCCGGUGUGAGUAGCGAAAGACGGGUGAGAAUCCCGUCCACCGAUUGACUAAGGUUUCCAGAGGAAGGCUCGUCCGCUCUGGGUUAGUCGGGUCCUAAGCUGAGGCCGACAGGCGUAGGCGAUGGAUAACAGGUUGAUAUUCCUGUACCACCUAUAAUCGUUUUAAUCGAUGGGGGGACGCAGUAGGAUAGGCGAAGCGUGCGAUUGGAUUGCACGUCUAAGCAGUAAGGCUGAGUAUUAGGCAAAUCCGGUACUCAUUAAGGCUGAGCUGUGAUGGGGAGAAGACAUUGUGUCUUCGAGUCGUUGAUUUCACACUGCCGAGAAAAGCCUCUAGAUAGAAAAUAGGUGCCCGUACCGCAAACCGACACAGGUAGUCAAGAUGAGAAUUCUAAGGUGAGCGAGCGAACUCUCGUUAAGGAACUCGGCAAAAUGACCCCGUAACUUCGGGAGAAGGGGUGCUCUUUAGGGUUAACGCCCAGAAGAGCCGCAGUGAAUAGGCCCAAGCGACUGUUUAUCAAAAACACAGGUCUCUGCUAAACCGUAAGGUGAUGUAUAGGGGCUGACGCCUGCCCGGUGCUGGAAGGUUAAGAGGAGUGGUUAGCUUCUGCGAAGCUACGAAUCGAAGCCCCAGUAAACGGCGGCCGUAACUAUAACGGUCCUAAGGUAGCGAAAUUCCUUGUCGGGUAAGUUCCGACCCGCACGAAAGGCGUAACGAUUUGGGCACUGUCUCAACGAGAGACUCGGUGAAAUCAUAGUACCUGUGAAGAUGCAGGUUACCCGCGACAGGACGGAAAGACCCCGUGGAGCUUUACUGUAGCCUGAUAUUGAAAUUCGGCACAGCUUGUACAGGAUAGGUAGGAGCCUUUGAAACGUGAGCGCUAGCUUACGUGGAGGCGCUGGUGGGAUACUACCCUAGCUGUGUUGGCUUUCUAACCCGCACCACUUAUCGUGGUGGGAGACAGUGUCAGGCGGGCAGUUUGACUGGGGCGGUCGCCUCCUAAAAGGUAACGGAGGCGCUCAAAGGUUCCCUCAGGAUGGUUGGAAAUCAUUCAUAGAGUGUAAAGGCAUAAGGGAGCUUGACUGCGAGACCUACAAGUCGAGCAGGGUCGAAAGACGGACUUAGUGAUCCGGUGGUUCCGCAUGGAAGGGCCAUCGCUCAACGGAUAAAAGCUACCCCGGGGAUAACAGGCUUAUCUCCCCCAAGAGUUCACAUCGACGGGGAGGUUUGGCACCUCGAUGUCGGCUCAUCGCAUCCUGGGGCUGUAGUCGGUCCCAAGGGUUGGGCUGUUCGCCCAUUAAAGCGGUACGCGAGCUGGGUUCAGAACGUCGUGAGACAGUUCGGUCCCUAUCCGUCGUGGGCGUAGGAAAUUUGAGAGGAGCUGUCCUUAGUACGAGAGGACCGGGAUGGACAUACCUCUGGUGUACCAGUUGUCGUGCCAACGGCAUAGCUGGGUAGCUAUGUGUGGACGGGAUAAGUGCUGAAAGCAUCUAAGCAUGAAGCCCCCCUCAAGAUGAGAUUUCCCAACUUCGGUUAUAAGAUCCCUCAAAGAUGAUGAGGUUAAUAGGUUCGAGGUGGAAGCAUGGUGACAUGUGGAGCUGACGAAUACUAAUCGAUCGAAGACUUAAUCAAAUU